GGGGGUCACUCUGUGCCUGUGC
Non-coding RNA from Drosophila melanogaster (fruit fly), 22 nucleotides. Lineage: Eukaryota; Metazoa; Arthropoda; Insecta; Diptera; Drosophilidae. The record is from Ensembl.